This 485-nucleotide ribosomal RNA is filed under the name uncultured bacterium. RNAcentral describes it as "partial 16S ribosomal RNA". It matches the Rfam family "Bacterial small subunit ribosomal RNA", at positions 30 to 508 of the family's 1533-position model. The record is from RNAcentral.
AUUGAACGCUGGCGGCAUGCCUUACACAUGCAAGUCGAACGGCAGCGCGGGAGCAAUCCUGGCGGCGAGUGGCGAACGGGUGAGUAAUACAUCGGAACGUGCCCAAUCGUGGGGGAUAACGCAGCUAAAGCUGUGCUAAUACCGCAUACGAUCUACGGUUGAAAGCAGGGGAUCGCCAGACCUUGCGCGAAUGGAGCGGCCGAUGGCAGAUUAGGUAGUUGGUGAGGUAAAGGCUCACCAAGCCUUGGAUCUGUAGCUGGUCUGAGAGGACGACCAGCCACACUGGGACUGAGACACGGCCCAGACUCCUACGGGAGGCAGCAGUGGGGAAUUUUGGACAAUGGGAGAAAGCCUGAUCCAGACAUGCCGCGGGCAGGAUGAAGGCCGUCGGGUUGUGAACUGCUUUUGUACGGAACGAAACGGUCUUUUCGAAUAAAGAAGGCUAAUGACGGUACCGUAAGAAUAAGCACCGGCUAACUACGUGC